Molecule: ribosomal RNA, 253 nt
Filed under: uncultured bacterium
Lineage: Bacteria
Description: partial 16S ribosomal RNA
Rfam family: Bacterial small subunit ribosomal RNA
Source: RNAcentral
UACGGGGGGGGUAAGCGUUGUUCGGAAUUACUGGGCGUAAAGGGCUCGUAGGCGGCCAACUAAGUCAGACGUGAAAUCCCUCAGCUUAACUGGGGAACUGCGUCUGAUACUGGAUGGCUUGGAUUCGGGAGAGGAAUGCGGAAUUCCAGGUGUAGCGGUGAAAUGCGUAGAGAUCUGGAGGAACACCCGUGGCGAAGGCGGCUCCCUGGUCCGAUUCUGACGCUGAGACGCGAAAGCGCGGGGAGCGAACGGG